UACGUAGGGUGCGAGCGUUGUCCGGAAUUACUGGGCGUAAAGGGCUCGUAGGCGGCCAACUAAGUCGGAUGUGAAAUCCCCAGGCUUAACCUGGGAACUGCAUCCGAUACUGGAUGGCUUGAAUCCGGGAGAGGGAUGCGGAAUUCCAGGUGUAGCGGUGAAAUGCGUAGAUAUCUGGAGGAACACCGGUGGCGAAGGCGGCAUCCUGGACCGGCAUUGACGCUGAGGAGCGAAAGCCAGGGGAGCAAACGGG
Molecule: ribosomal RNA, 253 nt
Filed under: uncultured bacterium
Lineage: Bacteria
Description: partial 16S ribosomal RNA
Rfam family: Bacterial small subunit ribosomal RNA
Source: RNAcentral